AUUGAACGCUGGCGGCAGGCCUAACACAUGCAAGUCGAACGGUAACAGGAAGCAGCUUGCUGCUUCGCUGACGAGUGGCGGACGGGUGAGUAAUGUCUGGGAAACUGCCUGAUGGAGGGGGAUAACUACUGGAAACGGUAGCUAAUACCGCAUAACGUCGCAAGACCAAAGAGGGGGACCUUCGGGCCUCUUGCCAUCGGAUGUGCCCAGAUGGGAUUAGCUAGUAGGUGGGGUAACGGCUCACCUAGGCGACGAUCCCUAGCUGGUCUGAGAGGAUGACCAGCCACACUGGAACUGAGACACGGUCCAGACUCCUACGGGAGGCAGCAGUGGGGAAUAUUGCACAAUGGGCGCAAGCCUGAUGCAGCCAUGCCGCGUGUAUGAAGAAGGCCUUCGGGUUGUAAAGUACUUUCAGCGGGGAGGAAGGGAGUAAAGUUAAUACCUUUGCUCAUUGACGUUACCCGCAGAAGAAGCACCGGCUAACUCCGUGCCAGCAGCCGCGGUAAUACGGAGGGUGCAAGCGUUAAUCGGAAUUACUGGGCGUAAAGCGCACGCAGGCGGUUUGUUAAGUCAGAUGUGAAAUCCCCGGGCUCAACCUGGGAACUGCAUCUGAUACUGGCAAGCUUGAGUCUCGUAGAGGGGGGUAGAAUUCCAGGUGUAGCGGUGAAAUGCGUAGAGAUCUGGAGGACUACCGGUGGCGAAGGCGGCCCCCUGGACGAAGACUGACGCUCAGGUGCGAAAGCGUGGGGAGCAAACAGG
This 759-nucleotide ribosomal RNA is filed under the name uncultured Enterobacteriaceae bacterium. Its description in RNAcentral is "bacterial SSU rRNA". It matches the Rfam family "Bacterial small subunit ribosomal RNA", at positions 28 to 776 of the family's 1533-position model. Lineage: Bacteria; Pseudomonadati; Pseudomonadota; Gammaproteobacteria; Enterobacterales; Enterobacteriaceae. The record is from RNAcentral.